Molecule: ribosomal RNA, 520 nt
Filed under: uncultured Scutellospora
Lineage: Eukaryota; Fungi; Glomeromycota; Glomeromycetes; Diversisporales; Gigasporaceae
Description: SSU rRNA
Rfam family: Eukaryotic small subunit ribosomal RNA
Source: RNAcentral
AGCAGCCGCGGUAAUUCCAGCUCCAAUAGCGUAUAUUAAAGUUGUUGCAGUUAAAAAGCUCGUAGUUGAAUUUCGGGGUUCUAUCGUUGGUCGGGCUAUUGUCUGUACUGGCGUGUAGAAUUUCUACCUUCUGGGGAACUAUCAUGUUAUUUAUUUAGCGUGGUAGGAAACCAGGACCUUUACCUUGAAAAAAUUAGAGUGUUCAAAGCAGGCUUAUGUCUGAAUACAUUAGCAUGGAAUAAUAAAAUAGGACGGUGGUCCUGUUUUGUUGGUUUCUGAAUCACCGUAAUGAUUAAUAGGGAUAGUUGGGGGCAUUAGUAUUCAAUUAUCAGAGGUGAAAUUCUUGGAUUUAUUGAAGACUAACUACUGCGAAAGCAUUUGCCAAAGGAUGUUUUCAUUAAUCAAGAACGAAAGUUAGGGGAAUCGAAGACGAUCAGAUACCGUCUCAGUCUUAACCAUAAACUAUGCCACUAGGGAUCGGACCGAUGUUAAACUUUUUCUUGAACCCCGUUCGGCGCCU